Molecule: ribosomal RNA, 408 nt
Filed under: uncultured bacterium
Lineage: Bacteria
Description: partial 16S ribosomal RNA
Rfam family: Bacterial small subunit ribosomal RNA
Source: RNAcentral
GACGAACGCUGGCGGCGUGCCUAAUACAUGCAAGUCGACCUUAGUUGCGAACGGGGUAGUAACACGUGGGUAACCUACCCAUCAGAAGGGGAUAACACUUGGACACAGGUGCCAAUACCGUAUACUGAUGGAUGGACCGGCGGUGCAUUAGCUAGUUGGGGAGGUAACGGCGCACCAAGGCCACGAUGCAUAGCCGGCCUGAGAGGGUGAGCAGCCACACUGGGACUGAGACACGGCCCAAACUCCUACGGGAGGCAGCAGUAGGGAAUCUUCGGCAAUGGACGAAAGUCUGACCGAGCAACGCCGCGUGAGUGAAGAAGGUUUUCGGAUCGUAAAACUCUGUUGUUAGAGAAGCGGUAUCUAACCAGAAAGCCACGGCUAACUACGUGCCAGCAGCCGCGGUAAUUC